CCGGUACUGUGCCCAGGGGUUACUGGCUGCGACUGUUGUGUGCACGGGCGCCAAGGGGGUUACCUGACGCCGCUCUACCUGUGAGGGCGGGGACAUGUGUCCCGUUAUUUGUUCACCACCUCGGUGACUGACACUCAGAUAAAGUCAUGUACAGGGCACUGGUAAAAAAAAAUAGUUGGCGUUAUACAUGGCUUAGAACACGAGUGCACGGGCGUGACACCGACAGGUCCAUGGAUGAUUUAACCCUCUGUGUGCUGCCUGAGGAUGUUCAGAAAGCAAGGGUACCAGUUGGAAAAACAUUCCCCCUGUGUUCAUGGAAGGAGACCCUUGCUCAGCAUCUGGAGUCGCACUUCGUGAGUCUGGUAUAGCAGCAAAUCCGGAGCACGGCUUACAUUCUGAUGCUGAAAGCGAAAAUAAGAUACAGAAAGAAACAUUUAGAAUCUACUGAUUGCGACACUGGAAAUACUAGUCAUGUGUUAU
Molecule: long non-coding RNA, 480 nt
Organism: Hyla sarda
Lineage: Eukaryota; Metazoa; Chordata; Amphibia; Anura; Hylidae
Exons: 3
Source: RefSeq, a predicted model, not a curated record